AAAUCUUACCGGGUCCGGACACACUGAGGAUUGACAGGCAAUAUAUAGAUCCCUAGCGAUCUAUUGUUAAAUAUGCUAGUCCUUUCAUGAUUAUGUGAUAGGUGGUGCAUGGCCGUUCUUAGUUCGUGGAGUGAUCUGUCUGCUUAAUUGCGUUUCACUAAGGAGCUAUAUUAUUCAUGUAUGUUGUUAGCGCAUUGACCCCUCGUUUGCUGUGUUGUGUUUCAACACACACUCACAUCUGUAGCGUGCGUCUUUGAUUUACGUCUAGCUCAUACGAUUAGCUCCUGAAAGCAACGAACGUGACCGCAACCUCUUGUUGCCUUCAUUUCCUACGUAUCACACACACUUUCACGUGUUGUGUGCAUACUAUACGGAGGCUUUUUAAACUAGAGGGACCGCUGUUAUCUUCUUAAACCAGAGGAAGGUUGCGGCAAUAA
This 437-nucleotide ribosomal RNA is filed under the name uncultured marine eukaryote. RNAcentral's name for it is "bacterial SSU rRNA". It matches the Rfam family "Eukaryotic small subunit ribosomal RNA", at positions 1210 to 1456 of the family's 1831-position model. The record is from RNAcentral.